UGCCCCUGUCAUAGGUAGAGUGGCAUCCGGUUGGUGGUGCCUGUCUCCUCUCAGCCAAGGACAAAGCAGCCUCCUGUUUAUCCUAGCUUGGCUUUUGGUCUGUGUCCAUGCCUGGUUCAUGCCUUAGAGACAUGG
Small nucleolar RNA from Prolemur simus (greater bamboo lemur), 135 nucleotides. The record is from Ensembl. Lineage: Eukaryota; Metazoa; Chordata; Mammalia; Primates; Lemuridae.